Molecule: long non-coding RNA, 2243 nt
Organism: Rhineura floridana
Lineage: Eukaryota; Metazoa; Chordata; Lepidosauria; Squamata; Rhineuridae
Exons: 3
Source: RefSeq, a predicted model, not a curated record
UUCCUAUAUGGAGGUGGGCCUACUGCUCAGCGAAACAGCCUCCGCUGCGCCUGCCGGAGGUCCUGAGUUCAACCCUUGGCAUCUCCAGCAGGUCCUGGGGCUCAAAAAAAUCCCGGGGGGGGAACCCCUCAUCUCUGGGCAGCAGCUCAGGUUUGCCCCCGCCCAGGACUGUGAGGGCCGGCCCAGGAGGCGGCCGGGGGGGCAAAGGGUUAACGGCGAGGAGGCUCGCGGCUCCGGCGGCUGUUCCUGGUUUAUCCCGAGCCAGGCGAGGAGGCGGCGGCGGCAGCUGGAAGGAAGGCAAGCGAGGAGGAAGAAAGAGCUCCGCAGCGGAGAGCAGGCUGGAAGGGGGAUCGGGGGCGCCCCCUGGCUUGAGCACGCUCCCUCCCGCCCCACGGCAAAAGGAGCCCUUGGGAAACUGAGGCAUUCCGCUUAGGGGCCCCAGAGUGCCUUCCUCGCUAGUCUCUAAAAGGAUUUUCACACAGUUGCUUCCUCUCUCACCUUUACCCUGGGCCUUCAGAGACUGUCAAGUGGAGGCUGCAUCUAGUUCGGCUUUUGAAAGUAAACCAGUGUCUGUUUGGGAAGAGGAGAAGCCUUGGACUCUGCAACUCUUGACUUCUCACCCCAGAGAUGGGCUCAUGGGAUAUGGCUACUUGCUGUGGAGGGAAAUGCUCUCUGCACAUGCUAAGGGCACCCUUAGUUAUCCUCCAUGCUGACACUGGAAAUGGUCAGCUUUCCUCUCCCAAGAUGCAAGGCUUGCUUCUUUUUUCACCAGCUGUAAGCAAGGAAGAAGGGGUAGAGAGGAACAGGAUAGUUUUAGGGUCCUUCCCAAGAUUCAGUGUGAGGCAAGGCUAAUGAAGCAGGCUGCGUUUCAUUUUAUUGAUUUCUUAGAAGACUUCCGUACCGCCUUCCAGAGCCCAAUAGCUCUCGCAAGGUGGUGUGCAAACUCGGGAGUAAACAUAAUUGCAUUCAAAACAUUUGACCCUUAAAAUCAUUAACAGUACAAAUUAAUCCAAAUGCAGCAGUUAAUAAAAGGCAGAUUGAAAUAAACUGCUGCUGAUGGAGCCACGUGCAUGUUCAGGUGGAGGGUGUUCUGCAGGUAUGGGGCUGCCACUCAAAACAAAACAAACCCUCUUUCUGGCACCCAUCAGGCGGGCAUAUCUUACUGAUGGGCCAGAGGACAGAGCUCUUAAUACCGGGGCAUUUGGUCCACAGAACCUCCUGUUCUCCCCACCCUGCUAAAAAAUGGAGAGAGGAAAAAUCCACUCUGUAACUGGCCUAACUUUGAUAAGGAAGGAUGGCUGUGGUGUUUUAAGGGGUAACUGAUCUUAGGAAUCCCAUCCAUCUCCAGUAUCCAGUUUCUGACAGUGGGCAGCCAGAAGCCCCCAGGAAGUCCACAAGAAGCUGUUAAUUCUCUCCCACUAUUGCUCCUCUGCUAUUUGGAGGUAGACUGUCUUUGAACACGGAGGCUCCCUUCAACUUUCGGGAGCAGCAGCUGCUGAUGGGCCUAUCCCUCAUGUAUUUGUCAAUCCUUGCUAAGUGAUGAAAGUUGGAGUGGUGUACAUUUUGGAGCACCUUGUAUUCAAUGUCUUUGCACUGUAUGUUGACUGCUUUAAAUAAAUAAUCAUGGGGAAAGGGGCUUCUCUUUUGGCCAAUAGCUAGAAAUUAUUGUGUUCUGUACACUUGCUUCUUUCCUUUUCACAGGCUCUCACGGGAGCAAUUUGACAAUCACUGAGCAUAGCAUCCAGGCAAUCUCUCCUAAGGCCAUAGAGUUGGAAGGGGACCUUCGAGGUCAUUUAGUCCAACCCUUUGCACAAUGCAGGAUGCAACUACAGCAUCCCUCAAAGGUGGCCCAUCCAGCCUCUCAAAAAUUUCCAGCAAAGGAGAGCCCCCCCUCCCCAAGGCAGUCUAUUUCACUGCCAAACAGUUUGUACUGUUGGUAAGCUUUUCCUAAAGUUUAUGCAAAUCUGCUUACCUGUAAGGUCUAAUCCUGCUCUCUGGAGCAACUGAGGCUGAUCUACCUUUUGCAUGAUGGGCGUUCAGGUAUUUGAAGGCAAGCUAUCAUGCCUCCCCGAAUCUCUAGGCUAAACACACACAGCUCUUUUAAUGUUUCCUCUUAGCACUUGGUUUUUAGACCUUUCUGCUGCCGUUACCAGUUUUUAAAUUCUGCUUGCUGAAGAGUUCUGUGUGAACUGGAAACUUGGCUGCUCUGCUGUUAAGAAAUGUUGACCUAUGGAAAUGUUGAA